AGUCGCUCUCCAGCUCCAUACGAAAGUCAGUGAUUCGCGUGGCGUUCUUUGUAGCGUAAAUGAAAUGCUUGAAUAAAACGGUGGCUAGUCCUUUAUGGGCUGCUAUUACCAAACCCUCGCGACAUUU
Molecule: small nucleolar RNA, 127 nt
Filed under: Pristionchus pacificus
Lineage: Eukaryota; Metazoa; Nematoda; Chromadorea; Rhabditida; Neodiplogasteridae
Description: Nematode snoRNA ceN36-1
Rfam family: Nematode snoRNA ceN36-1
Source: Rfam by way of RNAcentral